UAUAAUCUUUGACUCUUCGUCUUAUUUAAAAUAUUUUUGUGAUUAGUAUUUUUUGUUAUUAGAUCAUAAAACAUGAAUACUACUUUAUGCAUGACUAAUUAUUUUGAGUUUUUUUUAUCAAUUUUUCAAAUAAGACGGAUAAUCAAACACUGAACACAAAA
Molecule: microRNA precursor, 161 nt
Filed under: Oryza brachyantha (malo sina)
Lineage: Eukaryota; Viridiplantae; Streptophyta; Magnoliopsida; Poales; Poaceae
Description: MIR812 microRNA precursor family
Rfam family: MIR812 microRNA precursor family
Source: Rfam by way of RNAcentral